This 1133-nucleotide long non-coding RNA is filed under the name Sus scrofa (pig). RNAcentral describes it as "lncRNA (ENSSSCG00030005262.1)". Lineage: Eukaryota; Metazoa; Chordata; Mammalia; Artiodactyla; Suidae. The record is from RNAcentral.
AUGGCCCUUCCAAAGAUAUCAUAUCUUAAUCCCUAGAACCUGUAAAAUGCUGCCUUCUUUGGGAAAAGGGUCUUCGCAGAUGUGAUUAAGACUAUUUUGAUGGGGGGGGGGGCGGUUAGCCUGGAUUAUCCAGGUCCCUAAAUGCAAUCAUGUGUAUCUUUACAAGAGGGAGGCAGAAGAAUGAACAAACUGAGAAAGCAGUCUGAAGAUGGAACAGAGAGACAUUUGUAGAUGUUGACCUUGGAGAUUGCAGUCAUGUCCCUCCCUGCAAGGCGAGGGAUGCCUGCAGUUAUCGGAAGCUGGAAGAGGUAAGGAGUGGGCUUUUCCCUAGAGUCUCCAGACUGAGUGCAGCCCUUGAUUUCAGCCCAGGGAAACUGAUCUGGGGCAUCUGGCUUCCAGAACUGUUAAGAGAAUAAAUUUCUGUUGAUGAAGUCACCCGGUUACAGUAGUUAACACAGCAGCCCUAGGAAACUAAUACAUCAUUGUUUAUUUGCUUGCUUUCUCCCUUCUGCAGUUUUCCAGGUUUGAUUUGGGGACUGGGAGACAGCAGCCUAAACUUGAUCAUCCUUUUGGCAAUUACAGGAUGCUGGAAUCGCUCCUUGAGAAGGCUGGACUUUUACAAAGGCUCUGUCAUCCAUGGAUGUCUGCCCAGAUACUUCUUACAGGAUGCUGCUCUUACAAGCAUAAGUGGAUGUCUUUCGCUAUACACACCUCAGGACAUGAAUGGAUCGAUGGACAGAGUUAAAGACAAUGAGCAAACUGGCCAAUCCAUAUCUGAAUGUCAAACUAUCGACGCCAGAGAAAAAUUCAUGGUAGGACAGGUUAAAAAGAAAAAAAAAAACACUGAAAGAAGAAGCAGGUGUCAGACAUCCCUUUUCCCACCCCUGUUUAUGAAAUUAGGAGCUUCAUCAGGAGGAGAAAAGAGAAAUUAAGCCUAAGAAAAUGGGAAGGAGCAGAGGUUUUACACGAUUCAUGAGGUAGUCAUUUUUUCAAAUAGUGGGUUGGAAUCCUGAAAUAUUAUGUGUGGACCUGGAAGAAAAUGGACUUGAGACUUGCCUGGAUAUCUGUUUACCAUGGUUGAGUGGCCUUGCUACAAUGCUUGGUCCUUGAGGUAUAAGUGGAAUACUAGGCAG